RNAcentral lists this ribosomal RNA (466 nucleotides) under uncultured Glomus. RNAcentral's name for it is "SSU rRNA". It matches the Rfam family "Eukaryotic small subunit ribosomal RNA", at positions 569 to 1040 of the family's 1831-position model. Lineage: Eukaryota; Fungi; Glomeromycota; Glomeromycetes; Glomerales; Glomeraceae. The record is from RNAcentral.
AGCAGCCGCGGUAAUUCCAGCUCCAAUAGCGUAUAUUAAAGUUGUUGCAGUUAAAAAGCUCGUAGUUGAAUUUCGGGAUUAGUACGCUGGUCGUGCCUUUGGUAUGUACUGGUGUUACUGAUUCCUACCUUCUGACGAACCAUCAUGUCAUUCAUUUGGUGUGGCGGGGAAUCAGGACUGUUACUUUGAAAAAUUAGAGUGUUUAAAGCAGGCUCGCGCUUGAAUACAUUAGCAUGGAAUAAUGAAAUAGGACGUUUGAUCCUAUUUUGUUGGUUUCUAGGAUUGACGUAAUGAUUAAUAGGGAUAGUUGGGGGCAUUAGUAUUCAAUUGUCAGAGGUGAAAUUCUUGGAUUUAUUGAAGACUAACUACUGCGAAAGCAUUUGCCAAGGAUGUUUUCAUUAAUCAAGAACGAAAGUUAGGGGAUCGAAGACGAUCAGAUACCGUCGUAGUCUUAACCAUAAACUAU